GAUGAACGCUGGCGGCGUGCCUAAUACAUGCAAGUCGAGCGAACUGAUUAGAAGCUUGCUUCUAUGACGUUAGCGGCGGACGGGUGAGUAACACGUGGGCAACCUGCCUGUAAGACUGGGAUAACUUCGGGAAACCGAAGCUAAUACCGGAUAGGAUCUUCUCCUUCAUGAGAGAUGAUUGAAAGAUGGUUUCGGCUAUCACUUACAGCUGGGCCCGCGGUGCAUUAGCUAGUUGGUGAGGUAACGGCUCACCAAGGCAACGAUGCAUAGCCGACCUGAGAGGGUGAUCUGCCACACUGGGACUGGGACACGGCCCAGACUCCUACGGGAGGCAGCAGUAGGGAAUCUUCCGCAAUGGACGAAAGUCUGACGGAGCAACGCCGCGUGAGUGAUGAAGGCUUUCGGGUCGUAAAACUCUGUUGUUAGGGAAGAACAAGUACGAGAGUAACUGCUCGUACCUUGACGGUACCUAACCAGAAAGCCACGGCUAACUACGUGCCAGCAGCCGCAGUAA
RNAcentral lists this ribosomal RNA (514 nucleotides) under uncultured bacterium. RNAcentral describes it as "partial 16S ribosomal RNA". It matches the Rfam family "Bacterial small subunit ribosomal RNA", at positions 28 to 523 of the family's 1533-position model. The record is from RNAcentral.